This 2797-nucleotide ribosomal RNA is filed under the name Klebsiella pneumoniae. RNAcentral's name for it is "bacterial LSU rRNA". It matches the Rfam family "Bacterial large subunit ribosomal RNA". The record is from RNAcentral. Lineage: Bacteria; Pseudomonadati; Pseudomonadota; Gammaproteobacteria; Enterobacterales; Enterobacteriaceae.
CGGCGAUGUCCGAAUGGGGAAACCCAGUGCAAUUCGUUGCACUAUCGUUAACUGAAUACAUAGGUUAACGAGGCGAACCGGGGGAACUGAAACAUCUAAGUACCCCGAGGAAAAGAAAUCAACCGAGAUUCCCCCAGUAGCGGCGAGCGAACGGGGAGCAGCCCAGAGUCUGAAUCAGCUUGUGUGUUAGUGGAACGGUCUGGAAAGUCCGACGGUACAGGGUGAUAGUCCCGUACACCAAAAUGCACAGGCUGUGAACUCGAAGAGUAGGGCGGGACACGUGGUAUCCUGUCUGAAUAUGGGGGGACCAUCCUCCAAGGCUAAAUACUCCUGACUGACCGAUAGUGAACCAGUACCGUGAGGGAAAGGCGAAAAGAACCCCGGCGAGGGGAGUGAAAAAGAACCUGAAACCGUGUACGUACAAGCAGUGGGAGCACCUUCGGGUGUGACUGCGUACCUUUUGUAUAAUGGGUCAGCGACUUAUAUUCUGUAGCAAGGUUAACCGUAUAGGGGAGCCGCAGGGAAACCGAGUCUUAACUGGGCGUUAAGUUGCAGGGUAUAGACCCGAAACCCGGUGAUCUAGCCAUGGGCAGGUUGAAGGUUGGGUAACACUAACUGGAGGACCGAACCGACUAAUGUUGAAAAAUUAGCGGAUGACUUGUGGCUGGGGGUGAAAGGCCAAUCAAACCGGGAGAUAGCUGGUUCUCCCCGAAAGCUAUUUAGGUAGCGCCUCGUGAAUUCAUCUUCGGGGGUAGAGCACUGUUUCGGCUAGGGGGUCAUCCCGACUUACCAACCCGAUGCAAACUACGAAUACCGAAGAAUGUUAUCACGGGAGACACACGGCGGGUGCUAACGUCCGUCGUGAAGAGGGAAACAACCCAGACCGCCAGCUAAGGUCCCAAAGUCAUGGUUAAGUGGGAAACGAUGUGGGAAGGCACAGACAGCCAGGAUGUUGGCUUAGAAGCAGCCAUCAUUUAAAGAAAGCGUAAUAGCUCACUGGUCGAGUCGGCCUGCGCGGAAGAUGUAACGGGGCUAAACCAUGCACCGAAGCUGCGGCAGCGACACUAUGUGUUGUUGGGUAGGGGAGCGUUCUGUAAGCCUGCGAAGGUGUGCUGUGAGGCAUGCUGGAGGUAUCAGAAGUGCGAAUGCUGACAUAAGUAACGAUAAAGCGGGUGAAAAGCCCGCUCGCCGGAAGACCAAGGGUUCCUGUCCAACGUUAAUCGGGGCAGGGUGAGUCGACCCCUAAGGCGAGGCCGAAAGGCGUAGUCGAUGGGAAACAGGUUAAUAUUCCUGUACUUGGUGUUACUGCGAAGGGGGGACGGAGAAGGCUAUGUUAGCCGGGCGACGGUUGUCCCGGUUUAAGCAUGUAGGCUGGUUGUCCAGGCAAAUCCGGAUAAUCAAGGCUGAGGUGUGAUGACGAGGCACUACGGUGCUGAAGUAACAAAUGCCCUGCUUCCAGGAAAAGCCUCUAAGCAUCAGGUAACAUCAAAUCGUACCCCAAACCGACACAGGUGGUCAGGUAGAGAAUACCAAGGCGCUUGAGAGAACUCGGGUGAAGGAACUAGGCAAAAUGGUGCCGUAACUUCGGGAGAAGGCACGCUGGUGUGUAGGUGAAGUCCCUGCGGAUGGAGCUGAGACCAGUCGAAGAUACCAGCUGGCUGCAACUGUUUAUUAAAAACACAGCACUGUGCAAACACGAAAGUGGACGUAUACGGUGUGACGCCUGCCCGGUGCCGGAAGGUUAAUUGAUGGGGUUAUCCGUAAGGAGAAGCUCUUGAUCGAAGCCCCGGUAAACGGCGGCCGUAACUAUAACGGUCCUAAGGUAGCGAAAUUCCUUGUCGGGUAAGUUCCGACCUGCACGAAUGGCGUAAUGAUGGCCAGGCUGUCUCCACCCGAGACUCAGUGAAAUUGAACUCGCUGUGAAGAUGCAGUGUACCCGCGGCAAGACGGAAAGACCCCGUGAACCUUUACUAUAGCUUGACACUGAACAUUGAGCCUUGAUGUGUAGGAUAGGUGGGAGGCUUUGAAGCGUGGACGCCAGUCUGCGUGGAGCCAACCUUGAAAUACCACCCUUUAAUGUUUGAUGUUCUAACGUUGGCCCCUUACCGGGGUUGCGGACAGUGUCUGGUGGGUAGUUUGACUGGGGCGGUCUCCUCCCAAAGCGUAACGGAGGAGCACGAAGGUUAGCUAAUCCUGGUCGGACAUCAGGAGGUUAGUGCAAUGGCAUAAGCUAGCUUGACUGCGAGCGUGACGGCGCGAGCAGGUGCGAAAGCAGGUCAUAGUGAUCCGGUGGUUCUGAAUGGAAGGGCCAUCGCUCAACGGAUAAAAGGUACUCCGGGGAUAACAGGCUGAUACCGCCCAAGAGUUCAUAUCGACGGCGGUGUUUGGCACCUCGAUGUCGGCUCAUCACAUCCUGGGGCUGAAGUAGGUCCCAAGGGUAUGGCUGUUCGCCAUUUAAAGUGGUACGCGAGCUGGGUUUAGAACGUCGUGAGACAGUUCGGUCCCUAUCUGCCGUGGGCGCUGGAGAAUUGAGGGGGGCUGCUCCUAGUACGAGAGGACCGGAGUGGACGCAUCACUGGUGUUCGGGUUGUCAUGCCAAUGGCACUGCCCGGUAGCUAAAUGCGGAAGAGAUAAGUGCUGAAAGCAUCUAAGCACGAAACUUGCCCCGAGAUGAGUUCUCCCUGAGACUUUAAGUCUCCUGAAGGAACGUUGAAGACGACGACGUUGAUAGGCCGGGUGUGUAAGCGCAGCGAUGCGUUGAGCUAACCGGUACUAAUGAACCGUGAGGCUUAACCUU